Molecule: ribosomal RNA, 273 nt
Filed under: uncultured prokaryote
Description: partial 16S ribosomal RNA
Rfam family: Bacterial small subunit ribosomal RNA
Source: RNAcentral
UACGGGGGGAGCAAGCGUUGUUCGGAUUUACUGGGCGUAAAGGGCGCGUAGGCGGUCAGCACAAGUCAGUUGUGAAAUCUCCGGGCUUAACUCGGAAAGGUCAACUGAUACUGUGCGACUAGAGUGCAGAAGGGGCAACUGGAAUUCUCGGUGUAGCGGUGAAAUGCGUAGAUAUCGAGAGGAACACCUGCGGCGAAGGCGGGUUGCUGGGCUGACACUGACGCUGAGGCGCGAAAGCCAGGGGAGCGAACGGGAUUAGAUACCCCGUAGUCC